AUUCUAUUUUCAGUGGUUGUAGUAAUGACUUGCACAUUUGUAAUAUCUCUUUUUGGCAUUUUUUUGUCGUGGGUAUUGAGUCUGGAAGUAAAAAAAACGGAGAUAGGUGGAGGUUGGUGAGGAACGCUUCCCACCAACAGAUCAAGACAUCUAAAGGCCUGGCACAGUGGCUCAGCCCUGUCUUCCUAGCUCUUUGGGAGUCCCAAACAGGAAGAUUGGUUGAGCCUAGGAGUUUGAGACCAGCCUGGGCAACAUAGUGAGACCCCCAUCUCUACCAAAAAAAAAAAAAAAAUUAACGGGGUAUGGUGGCAUGUGCUUGUAGUCCCAGCUACUUGGGAGGCUGGGGCGGGAGGAUGGCUUGAGCCCAGGAGUUUAAGGCUGCAGUGAGCGGUGAUGGCGCCCUGCACUCCAGCCUGGACAACAGAGCCAGACCCUGUCUUUUUUUUUUUUUUUUAAAGACAUCUCAGGUAUAGGUUUGCUUUUGAGUAACAAAAAUGCACAUGAAACACUUAAAAGAAAACAAAGUUACCUCUUAAAGAUAGUUCUCAGGUAGAUUAGUAACCGUAACUUUGUAAUACCUUCCAAAAUGUGUUUCUUCUUUGAACUUCUAAUUGAAAUGAAACCUGGUUUAAUUAGCAUGUGGCUUCUUGUCUCAGAGAUCAACACUUUUAAAAACCAGGUAGAGAAGUCAAUUUCAAUGUUAAUCUAGGGUGUUUGAAAUUCCCUUUAGCUUUAAAAUGUUUCAAAAUAUCCAACCUAUCAGAUCUAUAGAAAAACAGAUGUUUGUUAAGGAACUUUUCAGCUUGUUUUCACUUCAUUUUCAUUUUUAGUUUGCAUAGACAAAAUAGUUCCUAGUGGUAAUUGUUUCCAGUGAAAAGAAGUUCAAGGCAAAUUGAAAAUAUUUUUUGAAUGAGCUCAAGCGAUUUACAAUUUAUGUAGAAUGCAGUAUUGCUCAUUCUGUACUCUUACUCAUAAGUGAUAUUGUUUGAUCAUUGUUAGCAUGUUAGGUACAAGAUCAAUGAUUUUUGCUUGAUAAUACCUUGUACUUAAAAGUGUUUUUAGUGUUUAUUUAUCCUCUGGUUUUAAUGUGGUGGAGUCAUAAUACAUAAAAGAGAAUAUUCACUAGACCCAUCUUUUGGGUUACACCCAUUAACACAAAAGUUGUAAUGUUUUCUAAAAUGCCUUCAUUUAAUUGCCAACUAUGCUGAACUUUUCACAAGUCACAUCAAUAGUGAGUCACUUAAAUAAAAAUUCACCAGUGUGUACAACAGAACAAAAGAAAGACGCAAAAGAAGUUUCAGCCUCUAGACAGAUGUAGAAUUUUCAAAAGGCACAAAGAGAUAACUUUUUGUCGACUUCUCAUCCUAUAGAAGAGCUGUAAGAAAAAUACUAAAGAGUCUAAUACCUUGUAAACAUUAAUAGAAAACUAGUAUUUCAGCAGGUGUGCCUGUUGCUUUUUAUACUGAAC
Molecule: long non-coding RNA, 1468 nt
Filed under: Homo sapiens (human)
Lineage: Eukaryota; Metazoa; Chordata; Mammalia; Primates; Hominidae
Description: non-protein coding lnc-NACA2-9:1
Source: RNAcentral